CACUGACAACUAUUAGAUAAGAUACGAAUCCAGUUCAGAUAUAAGAUUAUCAAUCAGUUGUUUACCUGAUAAAAACCAACACGCUCGUGAUAAAUUGUUUACCUAAACAGAAGUUAAUUUUUCACGACAUGAAGCAAAACACCCCUUAUUAACAAAAAUCUAAAAUGAACUUUUCGAUUGAGAAAUUGCUGCUACUAAGCAAUAUUGGAUUAUUCAUAAUAUUAGGAAGUUACUACCUAUGCUACUCGGAGUUUUACCAUGUUUGUAACGCAACCAUGAGUUUUACCAUGGAACUAGCCUUGAUAGGCACAUUAGCAAAUAUUUCCAUGCUUCUAGUGAUCAAAAGUGGUCUUCAACUUUCCAGUUUUGAGAAGAUUGCGGAAUCCACGCUGGCAGUUGUAUAUAUGUCAGUUGCAAUCUUAGUAUUUAAACGAGUAGAUUGGAACUAAUAAAGAAAUAGACCUACUUAAUAUA
Sitophilus oryzae (rice weevil) is the source of this 474-nucleotide long non-coding RNA. RefSeq lists it as uncharacterized. The record is from RefSeq and is a predicted model, not a curated record. NCBI's taxonomy places the organism in Eukaryota, Metazoa, Arthropoda, Insecta, Coleoptera, Curculionidae. The transcript is spliced from 2 exons.